RNAcentral lists this small RNA (68 nucleotides) under unclassified sequences. RNAcentral describes it as "cow-rumen-4 RNA". It matches the Rfam family "cow-rumen-4 RNA". Rfam says of the family: cow rumen metagenome. The record is from Rfam by way of RNAcentral.
ACACAGAAGGUAGGAAUGGAACUGCCUUCUGUGUAUCUUUUUUUUUACAUAACAUAAGGAGGUUAUGA